UUUCCCGAACUGGGUCACCACCACCAGGAUGUGGCUGCUGAAGGCCGUGCAGACCACCUGGGUUGGUACCCCACACACCACUUCAGUCUUCUGUUUUGAUACCACCAAUGGUUUGCCUUCCAUGGCUGGGUCUCCCGCGCUCACUGCCCCCAGGAGCAGGCGAGUCCUGCACCCGGCAG
Molecule: non-coding RNA, 179 nt
Organism: Vicugna pacos (alpaca)
Lineage: Eukaryota; Metazoa; Chordata; Mammalia; Artiodactyla; Camelidae
Source: RefSeq, a predicted model, not a curated record